GUCUUUUUCAAGCAGCUUCAGCGAGAGCAUCAAGCUCCUACACAUCUUCCCUGCCCAACACAACUGGGAUGGUGUUGGUGUAUAAAGUUCUGUAUCUGUGCAUUCUUGCCCUGGUGUAUUCAUUUGGGUGGUGCUAGCGGGUCACAGACUGGCAAAAUACGGAGAGCCAGGUCGUUCUUUCAAAUGUACUUAUGGAGACAACACUGAGUGAGUUACCUGUUCCUGCCAACAUAACACCACAACCCUGAAGACCUCCACCUGGCUGCCACGUUGAAGCUCACUCAGAACAAGCUGCAGAAGUCAAGAUUAAUUUGGAUAAGUUGAAAUUGCUGUAUCCCACAUGCUACAAGUUGCACUGGACCAGGGUAUCUGUAAUGGGGUUUGGUUGAUGUGAGGACUGUUAAUGAUGUUUGCUGUACUAAUGAUUCUGAUGUGCUGCUUGGAACAUGAAAUCUGUUAAGUCAUGCAACGGAAACCCAGUGCCAAAAUGAUGGUCUAAAUGCAAACCCUGAGCCCAGCUAUAUAUAGAUACUGUACUGUAAGUACUGGGUAUGUCAUGGUUUCAUCCACGCCGGUAUGCGAUCAAGUCUCCCCUGUCCCCUUUCCGUCUGUCAUGGCCCAGUAUGUUGCUACUCGCUUGUGGGCAGGGGCCCAUUUCAUAAUAGAGGAUUUGUGGGACUUUUACAGUUUAUGAAUUAGUGUUCUCAUUAAUUACUUUUCUGCUACAUACUGUAUAUGAAUAGCUGUUCUUGGAAGAUGUUAAACUACUGAAUUAAUUUGUUACUUUGAGGUUCUGAUGCUGUAAAAAUAAUUGUCAAUUUCUCUCUGUGGACUAUGGAAGAGGAGACAUUUAUCUUUUCAAAUCAAGGGUCAUAUUCCUGCCCUAUAACAAAGAGUAAUAAAACACGUUAGUGCAUGACAACUUUGCAACUGUUAACUCCUAUGUUUGCCAUGAGUCUAUAAACUAUGAUCUUGUUGUUUUCCCUUGUGUAUUUCUGUGAUAUUUGCCAACUGCUGUAUCUUUGUAACCCCUGCCAACUGACGUAAUGCAACGAAUGACUGAUAAACACUAUUAAACUGGAAA
Salvelinus sp. IW2-2015 is the source of this 1084-nucleotide long non-coding RNA. RefSeq lists it as uncharacterized. The record is from RefSeq and is a predicted model, not a curated record. Lineage: Eukaryota; Metazoa; Chordata; Actinopteri; Salmoniformes; Salmonidae.